CUCCUACGGGAGGCAGCAGCAGGGAAUAUUGCACAAUGGGCGCAAGCCUGAUGCAGCGACGCCGCGUGAGGGAUGAAGGCUUUCGGGUUGUAAACCUCUUUCAGUGGGGAAGAAGCGCAAGUGACGGUACCCACACAAGAAGGCCCGGCCAACUACGUGCCAGCAGCCGCGGUAAUACGUAGGGGCCAAGCGUUAUCCGGAUUUAUUGGGCGUAAAGAGCACGUAGGUGGCAUGGUAAGUCAAAGGUGAAAGCCCUCGGCUCAACCGAGGAAUUGCCUUUGAAACUGCUUUGCUUGAGUCCGGGAGGGGGGAGCGGAAUUCCCAGUGUAGCGGUGAAAUGCGUAGAUACUGGGAGGAACACCGGUGGCGAAGGCGGCUCCCUGGACCGGUACUGACACUGAGGUGCGAAAGCGUGGGUAGCAAACAGGAUUAGAUACCCUGGUAGUCCACGCCGUAAACGAUGGGCACUAGGUGCAGCGGGUGUCGACCCCUGCUGUGCCGUAGUUAACGCAUUAAGUGCUCCGCCUGGGGAGUACGGUCGCAAGGUUGAAACUCAAAGGAAUUGACGG
RNAcentral lists this ribosomal RNA (569 nucleotides) under uncultured bacterium. Its description in RNAcentral is "bacterial SSU rRNA". It matches the Rfam family "Bacterial small subunit ribosomal RNA", at positions 336 to 916 of the family's 1533-position model. The record is from RNAcentral.